Caerostris extrusa is the source of this 82-nucleotide non-coding RNA. Lineage: Eukaryota; Metazoa; Arthropoda; Arachnida; Araneae; Araneidae. The record is from the annotation of a GenBank genome assembly.
UCUCGUUAGCUCACCGAAGUCAAGCAUCAUUGGGCGCGGCCAGUACUUGGGUGGGUGACCACCUGGGAACACCGCUUGCCGU